RNAcentral lists this ribosomal RNA (409 nucleotides) under uncultured eukaryote. RNAcentral describes it as "bacterial SSU rRNA". It matches the Rfam family "Eukaryotic small subunit ribosomal RNA", at positions 36 to 436 of the family's 1831-position model. The record is from RNAcentral.
CUCAAAGACUAAGCCAUGCAUGUGUUAGUAUGAACUGAAUUUAUAUAGUGAAACUGCGAAUGGCUCAUUACAUCAGUUAUAGUUUAUUUGAUGGAUACGCGUUCAGCACUACAUGGAUACCUGUAGUAACAUAGAGCUAAUACAUGCAUAAGAAUCUGACUUUACGGAAGGAUUUGCACUUAUUAGAUACCAAACCAAUAUCCUCUCGGGGAUUUAUUAGGUGAAUCACAAUAACUGAACAAAUCGCAUAGUCUUGCACUGGCGAUGUAUCAAUCAAGUUUCUGCCCUAUCAACUUGAUGUUAGUGUAUUGUACUAACAUGGUUUUUACGGGUAACAGAGGAUUAGGGUUCGAUCCUGGAGAAGGAGCAUGAGAAAUGGCUACUAUUUCUAAGGAAAGCAGCAGGCGCG